This 447-nucleotide ribosomal RNA is filed under the name uncultured bacterium. RNAcentral's name for it is "bacterial SSU rRNA". It matches the Rfam family "Bacterial small subunit ribosomal RNA", at positions 329 to 792 of the family's 1533-position model. The record is from RNAcentral.
CUCCAGACUCCUACGGGAGGCAGCAGUGGGGGAUAUUGCACAAUGGGGGAAACCCUGAUGCAGCGACGCCGCGUGGGCGAAGAAGUAUUUCGGUAUGUAAAGCCCUAUCAGCAGGGAAGAAGAAAUGACGGUACCUGAGUAAGAAGCACCGGCUAAAUACGUGCCAGCAGCCGCGGUAAUACGUAUGGUGCAAGCGUUAUCCGGAUUUAUUGGGUUUAAAGGGUGCGUAGGCGGGUUAUCAAGUCAGCGGUAAAAUCGUGGAGCUCAACUCCAUCCAGCCGUUGAAACUGAUGAUCUUGAGUGGGCGAGAAGUAUGCGGAAUGCGUGGUGUAGCGGUGAAAUGCAUAGAUAUCACGCAGAACUCCGAUUGCGAAGGCAGCAUACCGGCGCCCGACUGACGCUGAAGCACGAAAGCGUGGGUAUCGAACAGGAUUAGAUACCCUGGUA